Molecule: ribosomal RNA, 825 nt
Filed under: Amesomyces atrobrunneus
Lineage: Eukaryota; Fungi; Ascomycota; Sordariomycetes; Sordariales; Chaetomiaceae
Description: LSU rRNA
Rfam family: Eukaryotic large subunit ribosomal RNA
Source: RNAcentral
CCCUAGUAACGGCGAGUGAAGCGGCAACAGCUCAAAUUUGAAAUCUGGCUUCGGCCCGAGUUGUAAUUUGUAGAGGAAGCUUUAGGCGCGGCACCUUCUGAGUCCCCUGGAACGGGGCGCCAUAGAGGGUGAGAGCCCCGUAUAGUUGGAUGCCUAGCCUGUGUAAAGCUCCUUCGACGAGUCGAGUAGUUUGGGAAUGCUGCUCAAAAUGGGAGGUAAAUUUCUUCUAAAGCUAAAUACCGGCCAGAGACCGAUAGCGCACAAGUAGAGUGAUCGAAAGAUGAAAAGCACUUUGAAAAGAGGGUUAAAUAGCACGUGAAAUUGUUGAAAGGGAAGCGCUUGUGACCAGACUUGCGCCGGGCUGAUCAUCCGGUGUUCUCACCGGUGCACUCUGCCCGGCUCAGGCCAGCAUCGGUUCUCGCGGGGGGAUAAAGGCCCAGGGAAUGUAGCUCCUCCGGGAGUGUUAUAGCCCGGGGCGCAAUGCCCUCGCGGGGACCGAGGUUCGCGCUCUGCAAGGAUGCUGGCGUAAUGGUCAUCAGCGACCCGUCUUGAAACACGGACCAAGGAGUCAAGGUUUUGCGCGAGUGUUUGGGUGUAAAACCCGCACGCGUAAUGAAAGUGAACGUAGGUGAGAGCUUCGGCGCAUCAUCGACCGAUCCUGAUGUUUUCGGAUGGAUUUGAGUAAGAGCGUUAAGCCUUGGACCCGAAAGAUGGUGAACUAUGCUUGGAUAGGGUGAAGCCAGAGGAAACUCUGGUGGAGGCUCGCAGCGGUUCUGACGUGCAAAUCGAUCGUCAAAUCUGAGCAUGGGGCGAAAGACUAAUCGA